Molecule: ribosomal RNA, 380 nt
Filed under: uncultured eukaryote
Lineage: Eukaryota
Description: SSU rRNA
Rfam family: Eukaryotic small subunit ribosomal RNA
Source: RNAcentral
AGCUCCAAUAGCGUAUAUUAAAAUUGUUGCGGUUAAAAAGCUCGUAGUUGGAUCCCUGCCACGGACGACCGGUCUGCCCACUGGGUGUGUAUCUGGUUCGGCCUGGGCAUCUUCUUGGAGAACGUCUCUGCACUUGACUGUGUAGUGCGGUAUCCAAGACUUUUACUUUCAGGAAAUUAGAGUGUUUCAAGCAGGCACACGCCUUGAAUACAUUAGCAUGGAAUAAUAAUACAGGACCUUGGUUCUAUUUUGUUGGUUUCCAGAAUUAAAGUAAUUAUGAAUAGGGAUAGUUGGGGCAUUCGUAUUUAAUUGUCAGAAGUGAAAUUCUUGGAUUUGUUAAAGACGGACUAUUGCGAAAGCAUUUGCCAAGGAUGUUUUCA